RNAcentral lists this ribosomal RNA (531 nucleotides) under Penaeus pulchricaudatus. RNAcentral's name for it is "partial large subunit ribosomal RNA". It matches the Rfam family "Bacterial large subunit ribosomal RNA", at positions 1829 to 2609 of the family's 2925-position model. The record is from RNAcentral. Lineage: Eukaryota; Metazoa; Arthropoda; Malacostraca; Decapoda; Penaeidae.
CAUGUCUAUAUGAUUGUUAUAUAAAGUCUAGCCUGCCCACUGAUUUGUUUUAAAGGGCCGCGGUAUAUUGACCGUGCGAAGGUAGCAUAAUCAUUAGUCUUUUAAUUGGAGGCUUGUAUGAAUGGUUGGACAAAAAGUAAGCUGUCUCGGUUAUAAUAAUUGAACUUAACUUUUAAGUGAAAAGGCUUAAAUGUUUCAGGGGGACGAUAAGACCCUAUAAAGCUUGACAAUAAUUUCGUUAUAUUAUAAAUUGUUAGUAUAACUUGAUUUUAACGGGAGUUUGUUUCGUUGGGGCGACGGGAAUAUAAUAAAUAACUGUUCUUUUAAAUAUAAUUACAAAUACUUGGUAAACAAUUGAUCCUCUAUUAGAGAUUAAAAGAUUAAGUUACUUUAGGGAUAACAGCGUAAUCUUCUUUGAGAGUCCACAUCGACAAGAAGGUUUGCGACCUCGAUGUUGAAUUAAGGUAUCCUUAUAAUGCAGCAGUUAUAAAGGAGGGUCUGUUCGACCUUUAAAUCCUUACAUGAUCUGAG